Molecule: ribosomal RNA, 506 nt
Filed under: uncultured bacterium
Lineage: Bacteria
Description: partial 16S ribosomal RNA
Rfam family: Bacterial small subunit ribosomal RNA
Source: RNAcentral
GAUGAACGCUAGCGGCAGGCCUAACACAUGCAAGUCGAGGGGCAGCACAGGAAAGUAGUAAUACUUUUGGGUGGCGACCGGCGGACGGGUGCGUAACGCGUAUACAACCUGCCUUCUACUGGGGGAUAAUUCGGAGAAAUCUGGUCUAAUACCCCAUAACAACCGAUGAGGCAUCUCAUUGGUUUAAAAGCUCCGGCGGUAGAAGAUGGGUAUGCGUGACAUUAGAUAGUUGGUGGGGUAACGGCUCACCAAGUCGACGAUGUCUAGGGGGACUGAGAGGUUAACCCCCCACACUGGUACUGAGACACGGACCAGACUCCUACGGGAGGCAGCAGUGAGGAAUAUUGGUCAAUGGACGCAAGUCUGAACCAGCCAUGCCGCGUGCAGGAAGACGGCUCUAUGAGUUGUAAACUGCUUUUGCACGAGGGUAAACCCAGGGACGUGUCCUUGGCUGAAAGUACCGUACGAAUAAGGAUCGGCUAACUCCGUGCCAGCCGCCGCAGUAA